UUUUUUUUUUCUUGGAACAGUGAAUCGCGAUGAACAGUAAUUUCGGCGAUAAACAAUACUCUGAUGAACAAUAACUAUUUUUUUAAUGUGAAAACCCAAAAUCUCCAAAAUAUUAAUAAAUUGAUGGAGAGACAAAGCUCUGAUGCCAAUAUGAUGUAGGAUGUAAAUUGUUGAACAGAUAAUUAAUUGGAAAAGACAAAAUCACCAAAGAGAAUUUAAAGAAAUAGGGUGAUUCAAACGUAGGAGAACAACUAUCCCUAGGGUUUCCCAAUUGCAGGAAGGAGGAAAAAUAUUGAUUGCAAC
RNAcentral lists this long non-coding RNA (303 nucleotides) under Panax ginseng (ginseng). RNAcentral describes it as "long non-coding RNA (PGIN_LNC016883)". Lineage: Eukaryota; Viridiplantae; Streptophyta; Magnoliopsida; Apiales; Araliaceae. The record is from RNAcentral.